AACAGGAUUAGAUACCCUGGUAGUCCACGCCGUAAACGAUGAGUGCUAGGUGUUGGGGGGCUACGCCCCUCAGUGCCGAAGGUAACCCAUUAAGCACUCCGCCUGGGGAGUACGGCCGCAAGGCUGAAACUCAAAGGAAUUGACGGGGGCCCGCACAAGCGGUGGAGCAUGUGGUUUAAUUCGAAGCAACGCGAAGAACCUUACCAGGGCUUGACAUCCCGCUGACCCCUCCAGAGAUGGAGGUUUCCUUCGGGACAGCGGUGACAGGUGGUGCAUGGUUGUCGUCAGCUCGUGUCGUGAGAUGUUGGGUUCAGUCCCGCAACGAGCGCAACCCUUGUCGUUAGUUGCCAGCAUUUCGGAUGGGCACUCUAACGAGACAGCCGGUGAAAGCCGGAGGAAGGUGGGGAUGACGUCAAAUCAUCAUGCCCCUUAUGUCCUGGGCUACACACGUGCUACAAUGGCUGGUACAAAGGGCAGCGAACCCGCGAGGGGGAGCCAAUCCCAAAAAGCCAGUCUCAGUUCGGAUCGCAGGCUGCAACUCGCCUGCGUGAAGCCGGAAUCGCUAGUAAUCGCGGAUCAGCAUGCCGCGGUGAAUAUGUUCCCGGGCCUUGCACACACCGCCCGUCACACCACGAGAGUUUGCAACACCCGAAGUCGGUGAGGCAACCUUUUAGGAGCCAGCCGCCGAAGGUGGGGCAGAUGAUUGGGGUGAAGUCGUAACAAGGUAACC
This 730-nucleotide ribosomal RNA is filed under the name uncultured bacterium. Its description in RNAcentral is "bacterial SSU rRNA". It matches the Rfam family "Bacterial small subunit ribosomal RNA", at positions 771 to 1501 of the family's 1533-position model. The record is from RNAcentral.